GCAAACUCUACCCUCACAAGAGACCACAGGACCACAACCAGAACCAUGAGAAAGCCAGCUCAGGUGGUGUUGGCGGCAGACAGCGAUCCGAGCCCGGAGGCGCUCCACGAUAGCACUGUGCACUCUCGGGGUGACUGAGCCCCCUCCAAGGAGCCCCGCCCCAGAGGCCCCCCCUAGCCCUCCUGCGGGGGCCUGCGGGGGCGCUGUGUCCCCCAUCUUACUGGACACAAUGAUUGCUGCCUCUGGGAUGGUGAGGUGGAAAGAGGCUACUGCUGGCUAUUGCAGGCAAGUCUGUUUUUGACAAUGUGAGCUCAGUGUUCAGGGCCACAUGAAUAGAGGUCUUCAGAGGUUGUGGGGGAGCCGUGGAGAAGGUGUGGGGGAGGGGAGUUAGUAAAAAGAGGGUGGGGAGAAAGAAUAGAAACCAGCUGGGGGGAGGAUAAGUUGGAAACAAACCCUGAUUAACUUACUCUAAUUGCAUUUGACAGCUCUGGAGAAGUUGGACAGAGUUGGUGGAUUUUUUUUCCUCCACCAAGCUGACAAGAGCCACUAGGUACUUUGUAAACACACGAUCUGGGGGUUAGAUCAAGAAUUCAGGGAUUGUCCAGCAAGAGACAGAAACACACAGCAAAAGGUAUUGAGAGAGGUAUUAAUAGAGAGGACUCCCCCUCACCUAGUUGUUUCCGACAAUUCUUUAUGGGGAUGUUUCUGCAGAGAAACACAUUUCUACCAUGUCUAUGUAACCAGCAGCCUUGACUUUUCCUCAGGUUAAAUAAAAAACCAAAACAAAACAGUGCUGUUUCAGAAGAUGUUUAAGUCACUGUUCAAAAUGUGCAAAAAUCAAGGGAGACUGUCUUUUGGCUUUUAAUUUUUCCUCCCUUUCCUUUCGCUCCGGUGUUUUCUCCUCUUUGGGGUACUGUAGGAUGUUGUCUUCUCCCAAAAGAGGGAGACAGCUUUUCAACUGUUAACAAUGUCAGUAAUUGGACUUUUGGACCAUGCUUUUUUCUUCAGCUAAUCCAAUCACCGGUAAAAUCCUCACUCCCUCUAAGGUUUCCUAGCCUUAAAUGAAAAGCAAUCUUAAGUCGCUAGCCACUGAGAGAGAUCCUUCAACACAUUUUUUUCUUUCCCGCUUACGUUUCUAUUCCUCACCCCCGGCUCUAUUCUAAUACAGUAUCAAGAGAGACAAACUCUUCCGAGAGUAAUUUACAAACGAUGGUCAAACUUACAAACUUCCAGCAAAUUGCACCGAGUCAUGUCCAGCCACUUUUCUGUCCACUUUUGUACAUUCCAUCCCCGGCCAGUGGAUCUGAGGGUCUGGACUCGCAAUAAGCAAUCUGGUUCUAUCUCCUGUAUUUGCUCCGCUUUAUAGAUGGAAAAAAAAAAAGUAGCUUGUAUUUUCCUUUCUCUUUCUCGUCUGUUGUUAGCCGCUUUGCUGACACUGGCU
Molecule: long non-coding RNA, 1441 nt
Filed under: Pan troglodytes (chimpanzee)
Lineage: Eukaryota; Metazoa; Chordata; Mammalia; Primates; Hominidae
Description: long non-coding RNA NONPTRT002816
Source: RNAcentral